CUCUUACAUGUCCCCUUGGCAGGGAUCACUAGAAGUCUGGCUCAGCUGGGGCUAUUCACCAUGGUGGCUACAUAAUGGCUUCUCCAGUAUGGUGAUUUCAGGUUAGUUGAAUUUUUACAUUAUAGCUCAAGACUAGCAAACAUAGUGUUUGAAGAAGCUUGAGUGGAAGCUUCAAGACUUAUGACCAAGAUUAGAAGUCCUGGAAUGUCACUUCUACCAUUUUCUACUGCUCAAGAAAGUCACUAAGACCAGCCCAAAUCCAAGGAGAGAGGAAUUAGAUUUCAACUCUCAACAGGAGAAGUACCAUACUAAAGACUAUAUGACCAUCUUUGAAAUAACGCCUUUCAGGAGCACAAGAGUUGAUGAAAGAAAACACUCUCAAAGUCAAGUUUGCUGUAGCCUGUAUACCUGAAAACGGUGGGCUUGAGAGGCCGGGAAGAGAAAGAAAGAAGAGGGAUAGUAACAACCUAAACAGCAAAGACUUGGAACUUGAAAUUAAAAAGAUAUACACCUAUCUAUGUAUUUCUGAUAUGUUUGUCAUAAUUUCAACCAAAGUUCAUGAUCUAUAGAAUUUUGCAUAAAUAAAAAAUAUCAUUUGGUUAGU
Molecule: long non-coding RNA, 604 nt
Filed under: Homo sapiens (human)
Lineage: Eukaryota; Metazoa; Chordata; Mammalia; Primates; Hominidae
Description: HSALNT0374170
Source: RNAcentral